GCCGAAGUGGCGGAAGCUGGUAGACGCGCCAUCUUGAGGGGGUGGUGAACGUGAGUUCGUGGGAGUUCAAAUCUCCCCUUCGGCACAA
RNAcentral lists this transfer RNA (88 nucleotides) under Dehalococcoidales bacterium. Its description in RNAcentral is "tRNA-Leu". It matches the Rfam family "tRNA". Rfam says of the family: Transfer RNA (tRNA) molecules are approximately 80 nucleotides in length. Their secondary structure includes four short double-helical elements and three loops (D, anti-codon, and T loops). Further hydrogen bonds mediate the characteristic L-shaped molecular structure. tRNAs have two regions of fundamental functional importance: the anti-codon, which is responsible for specific mRNA codon recognition, and the 3' end, to which the tRNAs corresponding amino acid is attached (by aminoacyl-tRNA synthetases). tRNAs cope with the degeneracy of the genetic code in two manners: having more than one tRNA (with a specific anti-codon) for a particular amino acid; and 'wobble' base-pairing, i.e. permitting non-standard base-pairing at the 3rd anti-codon position. Lineage: Bacteria; Bacillati; Chloroflexota; Dehalococcoidia; Dehalococcoidales. The record is from RNAcentral.